AUUGAACGCUGGCGGCAGGCUUAACACAUGCAAGUCGAGAGGAGAGAGGUAGCUUGCUACUGAUCUUAGCGGCGGACGGGUGAGUAAUGCUUAGGAAUCUGCCUAUUAGUGGGGGACAACAUUUCGAAAGGAAUGCUAAUACCGCAUACGUCCUACGGGAGAAAGCAGGGGAUCUUCGGACCUUGCGCUAAUAGAUGAGCCUAAGUCGGAUUAGCUAGUUGGUGGGGUAAAGGCCUACCAAGGCGACGAUCUGUAGCGGGUCUGAGAGGAUGAUCCGCCAAACUGGGACUAAGACACGGCCCAGACUCCUACGGGAGGCAGAAGUGGGGAAUAUUGGACAAUGGGCGGAAGCCUGAUCCAGCCAUGCCGCGUGUGUGAAGAAGGCCUUAUGGUUGUAAAGCACUUUAAGCGAGGAGGAGGCUACUUUAGUUAAUACCUAGAGAUAGUGGACGUUACUCGCAGAAUAAGCACCGGCUAACUCUGUGCCAGCCGCCGCCGUAA
Molecule: ribosomal RNA, 501 nt
Filed under: uncultured bacterium
Lineage: Bacteria
Description: partial 16S ribosomal RNA
Rfam family: Bacterial small subunit ribosomal RNA
Source: RNAcentral